RNAcentral lists this ribosomal RNA (492 nucleotides) under uncultured bacterium. RNAcentral's name for it is "partial 16S ribosomal RNA". It matches the Rfam family "Bacterial small subunit ribosomal RNA", at positions 29 to 507 of the family's 1533-position model. The record is from RNAcentral.
AGUGAACGCUGGCGGUAGGCCUAACACAUGCAAGUCGAACGGCAGCACAGUAAGAGCUUGCUCUUACGGGUGGCGAGUGGCGGACGGGUGAGGAAUACAUCGGAAUCUACUUUUUCGUGGGGGAUAACGUAGGGAAACUUACGCUAAUACCGCAUACGACCUACGGGUGAAAGCAGGGGAUCUUCGGACCUUGCGCGAUUGAAUGAGCCGAUGUCGGAUUAGCUAGUUGGGGGGGUAAAGGCCCACCAAGGCGACGAUCCGUAGCUGGUCUGAGAGGAUGGUCAGCCACACUGGAACGGAGACACGGUCCAGACUCCUACGGGAGGCAGCAGUGGGGAAUAUUGGACAAUGGGCGAAAGCCUGAUCCAGCCAUGCCGCGUGUGUGAAGAAGGCCUUCGGUUUGUAAAGCCUUUUUUGUGGGAAAGAAGGGCAGUAGGUUAAUACCCCGCUGUUUUGACGGUACCAAAAGAAUAAGCACCGGCUAACUUCGUG